Molecule: long non-coding RNA, 273 nt
Organism: Chinchilla lanigera (long-tailed chinchilla)
Lineage: Eukaryota; Metazoa; Chordata; Mammalia; Rodentia; Chinchillidae
Exons: 3
Source: RefSeq, a predicted model, not a curated record
UGCGCCACGACGUGGACUUCGGGCCCCGCCGAGCUCAGGGGUCCCCGCGAGGGGAGCCCGACCCCAGAUGCACUCCCGCGAGGGACGAGGGAACAGCAGCAGCCCGGGAUGCCCAGCUUUCUCACCCCACCGACUGCCUUUGGGCGUUGGAUUUGCUGUGGUCAGAAGCCCUGGGGACAGCUCCUGCCGGCUCGCACCAGGCUUCCUCUGCUGCGUUCUUUCCUCUUCUGCCUGGGAAUGGGACGGCGGAGCCCUAUGAAAAUGUGUGCAAGA